ACAGGCCACACUCAUCCCUCUGGUAAAUUGUGAUCAUCCACAUGCAGCACUUCCCUGCAGUCAGUGUCACAUCUCCAAACUCAUCUCCUGGCAGAUAUAUUCAGAAACAACAAGGUUUUCUACUGAAAACAAAAGCUUGUUGAGACAACAGCAUAAUUAACAUCCACCUGAGCAACUCUCUGCAUCCUGGCUAAGGGCCAAGCAUGUUCUCAGCCCAGGACAGGGAAAAGGAAGGCUCAAAGAUGCUCCCAAGAAAAUGCCAUCACAGUGGAGGCAUUGACAGCCUCUGAAACCCCGGGGAAGGCCAGCUCUGAAAUCAUCACAGAUUUACAGCUUUGAUUUGUUACUCAACAGGAUCUUCACUGGAAGAAACGUGGACUGGGAAAAAGGGAACCUUGAAGCGUGACUGAAAAAAAGAGAGAAACUCUUGGCAGUCCAAAGGAACUGAUCCUGCAGACCUCCUUGUUCAGUGAGGCUUGGACUCUGUCCAGUGCUGCUGUGAGCUCCAGUUCCAUCCUGCCCACAGGU
Prinia subflava (tawny-flanked prinia) is the source of this 528-nucleotide long non-coding RNA. RefSeq lists it as uncharacterized. The transcript is spliced from 3 exons. NCBI's taxonomy places the organism in Eukaryota, Metazoa, Chordata, Aves, Passeriformes, Cisticolidae. The record is from RefSeq and is a predicted model, not a curated record.